RNAcentral lists this ribosomal RNA (423 nucleotides) under uncultured bacterium. RNAcentral's name for it is "partial 16S ribosomal RNA". It matches the Rfam family "Bacterial small subunit ribosomal RNA", at positions 360 to 775 of the family's 1533-position model. The record is from RNAcentral.
AAUUUUCCACAAUGGACGAAAGUCUGAUGGAGCAACGCCGCGUGAACGAUGAAGGCCUUCGGGUUGUAAAGUUCUGUUGUCAGGGACGAAACCGUACCAUUCAAACAGGGUGGUACCUUGACGGUACCUGACGAGAAAGCUACGGCUAACUACGUGCCAGCAGCCGCGGUAAUACGUAGGUGGCAAGCGUUGUCCGGAAUUAUUGGGCGUAAAGCGCGCGCAGGCGGCUAUGUAAGUCUGGUGUCAAAGCCCGGGGCUCAACCCCGGGACGCAUCGGAAACUGUGUAGCUUGAGUGCAGAAGAGGAAAGCGGUAUUCCACGUGUAGCGGUGAAAUGCGUAGAGAUGUGGAGGAACACCAGUGGCGAAGGCGGCUUUCUGGUCUGUAACUGACGCUGAGGAGCGAAAGCAUGGGGAGCGAACAG